AUUGAACGCUGGCGGCAGGCCUAACACAUGCCAGUCGAGCGGAUGAAGGGAGCUUGCUCCUGGAUUCAGCGGCGGACGGGUGAGUAAUGCCUAGGAAUCUGCCUGGUAGUGGGGGAUAACGUCCGGAAACGGGCGCUAAUACCGCAUACGUCCUGAGGGAGAAAGUGGGGGAUCUUCGGACCUCACGCUAUCAGAUGAGCCUAGGUCGGAUUAGCUAGUUGGUGGGGUAAAGGCCUACCAAGGCGACGAUCCGUAACUGGUCUGAGAGGAUGAUCAGUCACACUGGAACUGGGACACGGUCCAGACUACUACGGGAGGCAGCAGUGGGGAAUAUUGGACAAUGGGCGAAAGCCUGAUCCAGCCAUGCCGAGUGUGUGAAGAAGGUCUUCGGAUUGUAAAGCACUUUAAGUUGGGAGGAAGGGCAGUAAGUUAAUACCUUGCUGUUUUGACGUUACCAACAGAAUAAGCACCGGCUAACUUCGUG
RNAcentral lists this ribosomal RNA (484 nucleotides) under uncultured bacterium. RNAcentral describes it as "partial 16S ribosomal RNA". It matches the Rfam family "Bacterial small subunit ribosomal RNA", at positions 30 to 507 of the family's 1533-position model. The record is from RNAcentral.